GCGCCUGUAGCUCAGCUGGAUAGAGCGUUGGCCUCCGGAGCCAAAGGCCGUGGGUUCGAAUCCCGCCAGGUGCGCCA
RNAcentral lists this transfer RNA (77 nucleotides) under Candidatus Fischerbacteria bacterium RBG_13_37_8. RNAcentral describes it as "tRNA-Arg". It matches the Rfam family "tRNA". From Rfam's summary of the family: Transfer RNA (tRNA) molecules are approximately 80 nucleotides in length. Their secondary structure includes four short double-helical elements and three loops (D, anti-codon, and T loops). The record is from RNAcentral. Lineage: Bacteria; Candidatus Fischeribacteriota.